Molecule: ribosomal RNA, 874 nt
Filed under: uncultured bacterium
Lineage: Bacteria
Description: bacterial SSU rRNA
Rfam family: Bacterial small subunit ribosomal RNA
Source: RNAcentral
CAUGCAAGUCGAGGGGAAACGACAUCGAAAGCUUGCUUUUGAUGGGCGUCGACCGGCGCACGGGUGAGUAACGCGUAUCCAACCUGCCCACCACUUGGGGAUAACCUUGCGAAAGUAAGACUAAUACCCAAUGACGUCUCUAGAAGACAUCUGAAGGAGAUUAAAGAUUUAUCGGUGAUGGAUGGGGAUGCGUCUGAUUAGCUUGUUGGCGGGGUAACGGCCCACCAAGGCGACGAUCAGUAGGGGUUCUGAGAGGAAGGUCCCCCACAUUGGAACUGAGACACGGUCCAAACUCCUACGGGAGGCGGCAGUGAGGAAUAUUGGUCAAUGGACGAGAGUCUGAACCAGCCAAGUAGCGUGCAGGAUGACGGCCCUAUGGGUUGUAAACUGCUUUUAUAAGGGAAUAAAGUGAGUCUCGUGAGACUUUUUGCAUGUACCUUAUGAAUAAGGACCGGCUAAUUCCGUGCCAGCAGCCGCGGUAAUACGGAAGGUCCGGGCGUUAUCCGGAUUUAUUGGGUUUAAAGGGAGCGUAGGCCGGAGAUUAAGCGUGUUGUGAAAUGUAGAUGCUCAACAUCUGCACUGCAGCGCGAACUGGUUUCCUUGAGUACGCACAAAGUGGGCGGAAUUCGUGGUGUAGCGGUGAAAUGCUUAGAUAUCACGAAGAACUCCGAUUGCGAAGGCAGCUCACUGGAGCGCAACUGACGCUGAAGCUCGAAAGUGCGGGUAUCGAACAGGAUUAGAUACCCUGGUAGUCCGCACGGUAAACGAUGGAUGCCCGCUGUUGGUCUGAAUAGGUCAGCGGCCAAGCGAAAGCAUUAAGCAUCCCACCUGGGGAGUACGCCGGCAACGGUGAAACUCAAAGGAAUUGACGGGG